AGAGUUUGAUCCUGGCUCAGGACGGACGCUGGCGGCGUGCCUAACACAUGCAAGUCGAGCGAUGAAGCCCUUCGGGGUGGAUUAGCGGCGGACGGGUGAGUAACACGUGGGUAACCUGCCUCAAGGUGGGGGAUAGCCUUCCGAAAGGGAGAUUAAUACCGCAUAACAUAUCUUAAUCGCAUGAUUGAGAUAUCAAACGAGUAAUCGGCUUUGAGAUGGACCCGCGGCGCAUUAGCUAGUUGGUGAGGUAACGGCUCACCAAGGCGACGAUGCGUAGCCGACCUGAGAGGGUGAUCGGCCACAUUGGAACUGAGACACGGUCCAGACUCCUACGGGAGGCAGCAGUGGGGAAUAUUGCGCAAUGGAGGAAACUCUGACGCAGCAACGCCGCGUGAAUGAUGAAGGCCUUAGGGUUGUAAAGUUCUGUCUUCUGGGACGAUAAUGACGGUACCAGAGGAGGAAGCCACGGCUAACUACGUGCCAGCAGCCGCGGUAAUACGUAGGUGGCAAGCGUUGUCCGGAUUUACUGGGCGUAAAGGAUGCGUAGGCGGAUACUUAAGUCAGAUGUGAAAUACCCGAGCUCAACUUGGGUGCUGCAUUUGAAACUGGGUGUCUAGAGUGCAGGAGAGGUAAGUGGAAUUCCUAGUGUAGCGGUGAAAUGCGUAGAGAUUAGGAAGAACACCAGUGGCGAAGGCGACUUACUGGACUGUAACUGACGCUGAGGCAUGAAAGCGUGGGGAGCAAACAGGAUUAGAUACCCUGGUAGUCC
This 769-nucleotide ribosomal RNA is filed under the name uncultured bacterium. RNAcentral describes it as "bacterial SSU rRNA". It matches the Rfam family "Bacterial small subunit ribosomal RNA", at positions 8 to 796 of the family's 1533-position model. The record is from RNAcentral.